Molecule: ribosomal RNA, 458 nt
Filed under: uncultured bacterium
Lineage: Bacteria
Description: bacterial SSU rRNA
Rfam family: Bacterial small subunit ribosomal RNA
Source: RNAcentral
CAGGAUGAACGCUGGCGGCGUGCCUAAUACAUGCAAGUCGAGCGGUAAGGCCCCUCGGGGGUACACGAGCGGCGGACGGCUGAGUAACGCGUAGGAACGUACCCCCAAAGUGAGGGAUAAGCACCAGAAAUGGUGUCUAAUACCGCAUGUGAUCUUCGGAUUAAAGCUUCGGCGCUUUGGGAACGGCCUGCGUAAGAUUAGCUAGUUGGUGAGGUAAUGGCUCACCAAGGCGACGAUCUUUAGCUGGUCUGAGAGGAUGAUCAGCCAGACUGGGACUGAGACACGGCCCAGACUCCUACGGGAGGCAGCAGUAGGGAAUUUUCCACAAUGGACGAAAGUCUGAUGGAGCAACGCCCGCGUGCAGGAUGAAUGCCUUAGGGUUGUAAACUGCUUUUAUAUGUGACGAAUAUGACGGUAGCAUAUGAAUAAGGAUCGGCUAACUCCGUGCCAGCAGCCGC